AAAAAUUAAAAAAAACAUCACACAAGCAAACAAUGCAAUAAAUAAUAUCCAUAUCCAGAUUAAAUGCAUAAAACACGAAUGAGAACACACAAGAAAGAAUCAAACUAUAAUAAGGUAAGAGCUUUUAAAUAACGGUAGUUGUCUCACUAAAACGGG
Episyrphus balteatus (marmalade hoverfly) is the source of this 156-nucleotide long non-coding RNA. RefSeq lists it as uncharacterized. The transcript has 3 exons. NCBI's taxonomy places the organism in Eukaryota, Metazoa, Arthropoda, Insecta, Diptera, Syrphidae. The record is from RefSeq and is a predicted model, not a curated record.